UUAUACAGCGACUGCGAAUGGCUCAUUAUAUAAGUUAUCGUUUAUUUGAUAGUACCUUACUACUUGGAUAACCGUGGUAAUUCUAGAGCUAAUACAUGCUAAAAAUCCCGACUUCGGAAGGGAUGUAUUUAUUAGAUUAAAAACCAAUGCCCUCUGGGCUCCUUGGUGAUUCAUAAUAACUUUUCGAAUCGCACGGCCUUGCGCCGGCGAUGGUUCAUUCAAAUUUCUUCCCUAUCAACUUUCGAUGUUUGGGUCUUGGCCAAACAUGGUCGCAACGGGUAACGGAGGGUUAGGGCUCGACCCCGGAGAAGGAGCCUGAGAAACGGCUACUACAUCCAAGGAAGGCAGCAGGCGCGCAAAUUACCCAAUCCCGAUUCGGGGAGGUAGUGACAAUAAAUACUGAUACAGGGCUCUUUUGGGUCUUGUAAUUGGAAUGAGUACAAUUUAAAUCUCUUAACGAGGAACAAUUGGAGGGCAAGUCUGGUGCCAGCAGCCGCGGUAAUUCCAGCUCCAAUAGCGUAUAUUAAAGUUGUUGUGGUUAAAAAGCUCGUAGUUGAACCUUGGGCCUGGCUGGCCGGUCCGCCUCACCGCGUGCACUGGUCCGGCCGGGCCUUUCCCUCUGUGGAACCCCAUGCUCUUCACUGAGUGUGGCGGUGAAACAGGACUUUUACUUUGAAAAAAUUAGAGUGCUCCAGGCAGGCCUAUGCUCGAAUACAUUAGCAUGGAAUAAUAAAAUAGGACGCGUGGUUCUAUUUUGUUGGUUUCUAGGACCGCCGUAAUGAUUAAUAGGGACAGUCGGGGGCAUCAGUAUUCAAUUGUCAGAGGUGAAAUUCUUGGAUUUAUUGAAGACUAACUACUGCGAAAGCAUUUGCCAAGGAUGUUUUCAUUAAUCACGAACGAAAGUUAGGGGAUCGAAGACGAUCAGAUACCGUCGUAGUCUUAACCAUAAACUAUGCCGACUAGGGAUCGGACGAUGUUAUUUUUUGACGCGUUCGGCACCUUUACGAGAAAUCAAGUGCUUGGGCUCAGGGGGAGUAUGUCGGCAGCUGAACUAAGAAUGACCGAGCACAACAGGGUAAACGCUCGGCAGCGCAGUAGCUCUGGCU
This 1106-nucleotide ribosomal RNA is filed under the name Cordyceps militaris. RNAcentral describes it as "SSU rRNA". It matches the Rfam family "Eukaryotic small subunit ribosomal RNA", at positions 74 to 1116 of the family's 1831-position model. Lineage: Eukaryota; Fungi; Ascomycota; Sordariomycetes; Hypocreales; Cordycipitaceae. The record is from RNAcentral.